UACGGAGGGUGCGAGCGUUGUCCGGAAUCAUUGGGCGUAAAGGGCGCGUAGGUGGCCCGGUCAGUCAGUGGUGAAAGCGCGGGGCUCAACUCCGCGUCGGCCAUUGAUACUGCUGGGCUUGAGCACUGUAGAGGCAGGCGGAAUUCCGGGUGUAGCGGUGGAAUGCGUAGAGAUCCGGAAGAACACCGGUGGCGAAGGCGGCAUCCUGGACUGGUCCUGACGCUCAGGAGCGAAAGCGUGGGGAGCGAUCCGG
RNAcentral lists this ribosomal RNA (253 nucleotides) under uncultured bacterium. Its description in RNAcentral is "partial 16S ribosomal RNA". It matches the Rfam family "Bacterial small subunit ribosomal RNA", at positions 524 to 776 of the family's 1533-position model. The record is from RNAcentral.